Molecule: ribosomal RNA, 1340 nt
Filed under: Mycolicibacterium smegmatis
Lineage: Bacteria; Bacillati; Actinomycetota; Actinomycetes; Mycobacteriales; Mycobacteriaceae
Description: Mycobacterium smegmatis 16S ribosomal RNA
Rfam family: Bacterial small subunit ribosomal RNA
Source: RNAcentral
UCGAGUGGCGAACGGGUGAGUAACACGUGGGUGAUCUGCCCUGCACUUUGGGAUAAGCCUCGGAAACAGGGUCUAAUACCGAAUACACCCUGCGUCGCGCGACAUGGCCUGAUAGGGGAAAGCUUUUGCGGUGUGGGAUGGGCCCGCGGCCUAUCAGCUUGUUGGUGGGGUGAUGGCCUACCAAGGCGACGACGGGUAGCCGGCCUGAGAGGGUGACCGGCCACACUGGGACUGAGAUACGGCCCAGACUCCUACGGGAGGCAGCAGUGGGGAAUAUUGCACAAUGGGCGCAAGCCUGAUGCAGCGACGCCGCGUGAGGGAUGACGGCCUUCGGGUUGUAAACCUCUUUCAGCACAGACGAAGCGCAAGUGACGGUAUGUGCAGAAGAAGGACCGGCCAACUACGUGCCAGCAGCCGCGGUAAUACGUAGGGUCCGAGCGUUGUCCGGAAUUACUGGGCGUAAAGAGCUCGUAGGUGGUUUGUCGCGUUGUUCGUGAAAACUCACAGCUUAACUGUGGGCGUGCGGGCGAUACGGGCAGACUAGAGUACUGCAGGGGAGACUGGAAUUCCUGGUGUAGCGGUGGAAUGCGCAGAUAUCAGGAGGAACACCGGUGGCGAAGGCGGGUCUCUGGGCAGUAACUGACGCUGAGGAGCGAAAGCGUGGGGAGCGAACAGGAUUAGAUACCCUGGUAGUCCACGCCGUAAACGGUGGGUACUAGGUGUGGGUUUCCUUCCUUGGGAUCCGUGCCGUAGCUAACGCAUUAAGUACCCCGCCUGGGGAGUACGGCCGCAAGGCUAAAACUCAAAGGAAUUGACGGGGGCCCGCACAAGCGGCGGAGCAUGUGGAUUAAUUCGAUGCAACGCGAAGAACCUUACCUGGGUUUGACAUGCACAGGACGCCGGCAGAGAUGUCGGUUCCCUUGUGGCCUGUGUGCAGGUGGUGCAUGGCUGUCGUCAGCUCGUGUCGUGAGAUGUUGGGUUAAGUCCCGCAACGAGCGCAACCCUUGUCUCAUGUUGCCAGCACGUUAUGGUGGGGACUCGUGAGAGACUGCCGGGGUCAACUCGGAGGAAGGUGGGGAUGACGUCAAGUCAUCAUGCCCCUUAUGUCCAGGGCUUCACACAUGCUACAAUGGCCGGUACAAAGGGCUGCGAUGCCGUGAGGUGGAGCGAAUCCUUUCAAAGCCGGUCUCAGUUCGGAUCGGGGUCUGCAACUCGACCCCGUGAAGUCGGAGUCGCUAGUAAUCGCAGAUCAGCAACGCUGCGGUGAAUACGUUCCCGGGCCUUGUACACACCGCCCGUCACGUCAUGAAAGUCGGUAACACCCGAAGCCGGUGGCCUAA